GUUUGAUUAUGGCUCAGAUUAGGCGCUGGCGGGAUGCUUUACACAUACCAAGUCGAACGGCAGCACGGACUUCGGUCUGGUGGCGAGUAGCGAACGGGUGAGUAAUGUAUCGGAACGUGCCUAGUAGCGGGGAUAACUACGCGAAAGCGUAGCUAAUACCAUACGCCCUUCGGGGAAAGCGGGGACCUUCGGGCCUCACCGCUAUUAGAGCAGCCGAUAUCGGAUUAGCUGGUGGUGGGGUAACGGCUCACCAAGGCGACGAUCCGUAGCUGGUUUGAGAGGACGACCAGCCACACUGGGACUGAGACACGGCGAACUCUACGGGGAGGCAGCGGUGGGGAAUUUGGACAAUGGGGAAACCUGAUCCAAUACAUCCCGCGUGUGCGAUGAAGGCCUUCGGGUUGUAAAGCACUUUGGCAGGAAAGAAAAAGAGCAGCCUGGGAUAAUGCCCGUGCAACUGACAGUACCUGCAGAAUAAGCACCGGCUAACUACGUGCCAACAACCAUGAAGCCACGUAGGGUGCAGCGUUAAUCGGAAUUACUGGGCGUAAAGCGUGCGCAGGCGGUUCAAGGAAAGAAAGAUGUGAAAUCCCCAGAGCUUAACUUUGGAACUGCAUUUUUAACUACCGAGCUAGAGUGUGUCAGAGGGAGGUGGAAUUCCGCGUGUAGCAGUGAAGUAGUAGAUAUGCGGGGAACACCGAUGGCGAGGCGGCCUCCUGGGAUAACACUGACGCUCAUGCACGAAAGCGUGGGGAGCGAGCAGUUAGAUACCUGGUAGUCCGCCUAAACGAUGUCAACUAGCUGUUGGAGCCUUCAGGCCUUGGUGGCUGGCUAACGCGUGAAGUUGACCGCCUGGGAAAUACGGUCGCAGUUAAAACUCAAAGGAAUUGACGGGGACCCACAAGCGGUGGAUGAUGUGGAUUAAGUCAUUGACACUUGAAAAACCUGCCUACCCUUGACAUGUCUGGAAUCCCGAAGAGAUUUGGGAGUGCUCGCAAGAGAACCGGAACACAGGUGCUGCAUGGCUGUCGUCAGCUCGUGUCGGUGUUGGGUUAAGUCCCGCAACGAGCGCAACCCUUGUCAUUAGUUGCUACGAAAGGGCACUCUAAUGAGGCGCGGUGACAAACCGGAGAAGGUGGGGAUGACGUCAAGUCCUCAUGGCCCUUAUGGGCCAGGGCUUCACACGUCAUACAAUGGUCCGGGACAGAGGGUCGCCAACCCGCGAGGAAGGAGCCAAUCCCAGAAGCCAGAUGUAGUCGGAUAACAGUCUGUAACUCGACUGCGUGAAGUCGGAAUCGCUAGUAAUCGCGGAUCAGCAUGUCGCGGUGAAUACGUUCCCAGGGUCUUGUACACACCGCCCGUCACUGUGGGAGUGGGUUUUACCAGAAGUAGUUAGCUAGCAACAAGGAGGGCGAUUACCACGGUAGGAUUCAUGACUGGGGUGAAGUCGUAACAAAGUAG
This 1461-nucleotide ribosomal RNA is filed under the name uncultured Bordetella sp. Its description in RNAcentral is "partial 16S-23S ribosomal RNA intergenic spacer". It matches the Rfam family "Bacterial small subunit ribosomal RNA". Lineage: Bacteria; Pseudomonadati; Pseudomonadota; Betaproteobacteria; Burkholderiales; Alcaligenaceae. The record is from RNAcentral.